RNAcentral lists this ribosomal RNA (546 nucleotides) under uncultured bacterium. RNAcentral describes it as "bacterial SSU rRNA". It matches the Rfam family "Bacterial small subunit ribosomal RNA", at positions 356 to 896 of the family's 1533-position model. The record is from RNAcentral.
GGGGAAUAUUGCGCAAUGGGGGCAACCCUGACGCAGCCAUGCCGCGUGAAUGAAGAAGGCCUUCGGGUUGUAAAGUUCUUUCGGUAGCGAGGAAGGCAUUUAGUUUAAUAGACUAGGUGAUUGACGUUAACUACAGAAGAAGCACCGGCUAACUCCGUGCCAGCAGCCGCGGUAAUACGGAGGGUGCGAGCGUUAAUCGGAAUAACUGGGCGUAAAGGGCACGCAGGCGGUGACUUAAGUGAGGUGUGAAAGCCCCGGGCUUAACCUGGGAAUUGCAUUUCAUACUGGGUCGCUAGAGUACUUUAGGGAGGGGUAGAAUUCCACGUGUAGCGGUGAAAUGCGUAGAGAUGUGGAGGAAUACCGAAGGCGAAGGCAGCCCCUUGGGAAUGUACUGACGCUCAUGUGCGAAAGCGUGGGGAGCAAACAGGAUUAGAUACCCUGGUAGUCCACGCUGUAAACGAUGUCGAUUUGGGGGUUGAACUUUGGGUUUGGCGCCCGUAGCUAACGUGAUAAAUCGACCGCCUGGGGAGUACGGCCGCAAGGUUA